CCUACGGGAGGCAGCAGUGGGGAAUAUUGGGCAAUGGGCGCAAGCCUGACCCAGCAACGCCGCGUGAAUGAAGAAGGCUUUCGGGUUGUAAACUUCUUUUCUCAGGGACGAAGAAGGUGACGGUACCGGAGGAAUAAGCCACGGCUAACUACGUGCCAGCAGCCGCGGUAAGACGUAGGUGGCAAGCGUUAUCCGGAUUUAUUGGGUGUAAAGGGCGUGUAGGCGGUAGCGCAAGUCAGAUGUGAAAACUCAGGGCUCAACCCUGGGCCUGCAUUUGAAACUGUGUUUCUUGAGUGCAGGAGAGGCAAUCGGAAUUCCGUGUGUAGCGGUGAAAUGCGUAGAUAUACGGAGGAACACCAGUGGCGAAGGCGGAUUGCUGGACAGUAACUGACGCUGAGGCGCGAAAGCGUGGGGAGCAAACAGGAUUAGAUACCCCAGUAGUC
This 443-nucleotide ribosomal RNA is filed under the name uncultured bacterium. RNAcentral's name for it is "partial 16S ribosomal RNA". It matches the Rfam family "Bacterial small subunit ribosomal RNA", at positions 338 to 795 of the family's 1533-position model. The record is from RNAcentral.